AUGUGGUCCCACGAUAUCCUAAAUCAUAUGCAUGAGGAGACUUUAAUGAAGCUGAAAACCUUACAGACAGACUUUGACCAAUUAAAGUCUGAGUAUGACACACUGCUCGAGGUUCAUCGUCAGUCAGCACCUGCUGUGUUACACUCCAAUCAGUCUGUGCUGCAACAUGGCUCAGAUAACAAACACACUGUUACAACUCCCAGACCAAACUGGGAGCAAUGUUCAGACAUACAAGAGCUCUUUGAAGGUCAAUCCAGCCAAAAGAAGCUGGAGAUUUUGCUACAGCAGAUGAAUGGCCAAAAUGAGUUCUUCACUUAA
This is a long non-coding RNA of Cyprinus carpio (common carp), 318 nucleotides long. NCBI's taxonomy places the organism in Eukaryota, Metazoa, Chordata, Actinopteri, Cypriniformes, Cyprinidae. The record is from Ensembl.